GACGAACGCUGGCGGCGUGCUUAACACAUGCAAGUCGAGCGAUGAAACACCUUCGGGUGCGGAUUAGCGGCGAACGGGUGAGGAACACGUGAGGAAUCUGCCUUCCACUCUGGGAUAACUCCGGGAAACCGGGGCUAAUACCGGAUACUUUCAACUGGCGGCAUCGCCGGUUGAAGAAAGUUUUUCGGUGGAAGAUGACCUCUCGGCCUAUCAGCUUGUUGGUGAGGUAAAGGCUCACCAAGGCGACAACGGGUAGCCGGCCUGAGAGGGCGACCGGCCAAACUGGGACUGAGACACGGCCCAGACUCCUACGGGAGGCAGCAGUGGGGAAUAUUGGGAAAUAGGCGCAAGCCUGAUCCAGCCAUGCCGCGUGAGUGAAGAAGGUCUUCGGAUUGUAAAGCUCUUUUGCCAGGGACGAUAAUGACGGUACCUGGAGAAUAAGCCCCGGCAAACUUCGUGCCAGCCGCCGCAGUAA
Molecule: ribosomal RNA, 475 nt
Filed under: uncultured bacterium
Lineage: Bacteria
Description: partial 16S ribosomal RNA
Rfam family: Bacterial small subunit ribosomal RNA
Source: RNAcentral